Unclassified non-coding RNA from Propithecus coquereli (Coquerel's sifaka), 107 nucleotides. It matches the Rfam family "Y RNA". From Rfam's summary of the family: Y RNAs are components of the Ro ribonucleoprotein particle (Ro RNP), in association with Ro60 and La proteins. The Y RNAs and Ro60 and La proteins are well conserved, but the function of the Ro RNP is not known. In humans the RNA component can be one of four small RNAs -- hY1, hY3, hY4 and hY5. The record is from Ensembl. NCBI's taxonomy places the organism in Eukaryota, Metazoa, Chordata, Mammalia, Primates, Indriidae.
GGUUGGUCCAAGUGCAGUGGUGUUUACAACUAAUUGAUCACAACCAGUUACAGACUCCUUUGUUCCUUCUCUACUCCCAGUGCUUCACUUGACUUGACUAGCCUAAA